CUGUCUCUAAUUCCAAGAUCUGACACCUUCACAUCAUGCAGGGAAAAAUACCAAUACAAAAUAAAUAAAUAAAUAAAUAAAAAUAAGUCACUGAACAGUGAUUUAUCUGUGGGAUAGGUUGUGUUUGCUGCUUCUAUGGUAAUUUGUACUUCUAGCUCACUAUAUGAAGACUUUAUUUGUGUGAGGAAAUGUAUGCAAUGAAAAUGUGCCAAAACCUUUUUGAGUGAUAUUUUUCUUUUGUGUUACUUUAUAAAUUUUCUUUUACAGUGAUAUUAUUUUUUUGGUGAGUAAAAAUGAUAAAAUGAGAUUGUAAGAAUGACACCAAAGGCUUUUUAUAUUAGAAAAACAAUAACUGACUCCUAGAUUAAAAUCAGAAUGAACCAUACUAGCCAAAGCAGCUAUGUGGCCACCUUAUGUGCCAGUAACAUUUCUGUGCUUUGUUUCUCUUUCAGAUUCAAACAGUGGUCUCAUAACUGGUAUUGUCAUUGGAAUGAUCAUCGUUAUUUUAUUCAUCAUUGCUCUCUGUUGUUUGAUUCAGAAGAAAAAAAAAAAAGA
Molecule: non-coding RNA, 555 nt
Organism: Cricetulus griseus (Chinese hamster)
Lineage: Eukaryota; Metazoa; Chordata; Mammalia; Rodentia; Cricetidae
Source: RefSeq, a predicted model, not a curated record